This is a long non-coding RNA of Brienomyrus brachyistius, 2465 nucleotides long. RefSeq lists it as uncharacterized. The record is from RefSeq and is a predicted model, not a curated record. NCBI's taxonomy places the organism in Eukaryota, Metazoa, Chordata, Actinopteri, Osteoglossiformes, Mormyridae. The transcript is spliced from 4 exons.
UUCGUUAACUUCUCACUAGUUUGUAGUAUGUUGCUAGAGACCCUGACUUGGUCAUGCGAACCCAUGCAUGUAGCCCUAAAUGCAAUUGUACAUUAACACAAUUAUUCGUGUAGGAUUAGUUAAAUGCACAGAGAAACAACGAGAAGUACAGAUACUAGAUAUGUGUAAUAGGAAGAGGACAGAAGUAUCAACUGUUUCUGUGAAGUCCGUGAGGUUCACAAAGAGCGUUAACGACGGAGAUGUCAGUGUUGGUGAGGAAGAGAUAAUGUGCUCUCCAGGAAAAUUGGAGGAUAGACGAACGUUCAAAAGAGGGGAGGAUUUAAAAGCAAUGAAGGUAAGAGGAAGCGGACAGCUCCAAAAUUAAAUAAGCUGGACGCAGAACAGAGUGACAGAAUGGUGCCUUCCCAGAAAGGUGUAGCCACUGAGGUCAGAUCUGUUGGUGGAAAGAUCAUCAAACAGGAAAUUAUACUGAGCACAGAGAAGCAAAAAGCAAAAUACACCACUGUCACCAGCAUGGGAACCCAGACUGGAGAAGGAAAUACAAAAGAGGAAGUAGUGGAGGAGGAGGUUUGGAAGAAAGAUGCGAUUAACUGCAAUCGGGAAGCAGGGAAAGAUCUCUGAAGAAAGCGGAUGAAAGACAAGGCGGUUGGGCUGGAUGAGAGCAGCAUGGAAUAUGAUGUGACCACUAAGAGAGAAGUGAUGUAUGCAGAGGAGUUCUAAAAGUAAAAAGGGAAAAGACAUACAAAAAAAACGAUUGCAGAAGAAAGUGAGAUUAAUGAGCUGCUCACUGGGGGAAAUGCAUCAGGCCAAAAAACAAGGAAAAGGAAGAAGCAGAGGGUAGACAGAGCCAGCAAGGGGCCAGAGAGUGAUACACGUGCAGUGAAAGAUAUGAUUAUGGAAAGCAAAGUCAGGGCCCAGGCACGUGGCUUAGGAGGUGCGGAAGAUCCAACCAGAAGUGCAGAGGAGGAGAGGAGGUGCCUGGGGAGGGAGUGGGAUGGUACAAAUUGCUCACACUGGUGCAGGAACCGAGAGAGAGAGAUAUUAUGGGGAAAAGAGGUAGAGUGGGGUGAUGCAGAGAGCUGGAGGCCGAGCCGAAGCCAGGAGAAUGUAGCAGGAACAGCCACGGCCAGGACAGAUGAGCAUCUCCUGAGGAAGAGGAGGAGGAAGAAGUGCCCUGAGAGAUGUCUGGUGGAGAUCAGAGGAGAAAGUGAAAAUGCAUGAAAGCCUUUUAGAGUUGACCUGACGACUAGCCCUGCAGAGGGAGAUUGACCUAGCAUCCUGCUAGACUUUCCAAGCUAAACAGAACAAAUUCACCCUGGAUCGCUGGGUCUGCCAAACACAUCAGCGCUCAAUGCCGCCCUGUGGCGGCAUCCUGGCUCACAGCCAAUAGCAAUAAGGGAGAGAUGUGCUCCGUUGUUGCUGGGAGGUAGUGAUCCGCAGCGUUGAGUAUUCUGGCUCGCUCACCACUGAUGGACCUCCAAAGCUGAAGACUUUCUCCUCUGUUUUACAAAAGUCUAGCUGCUUGUUCUGCCUGAUGUUCACUUUGCUCAGACAUGGCUGGAAGCCGAGUGUGAGAUCCGCGAGAAUGUGCUUCUUCCACCACCUGGCCUUGACCUCCUCGGAAACCAUGAGUUUAUGAGUACUUGGGCCAGUAGUGGAGCAUCUAAACCCCGCAUGUCCUAUUGCUGCUGGAUUUUUAUAUUUUUAAAAUGGGCAUAACAGACUUUCAGCUCUCCUGUAAAUUCUGACAGAUUCUAGCGGCAGAAAUGUCAAUGUCUACCUGCGAAAGUAAAUCUUUGGUUAUCAAAACAUUCUUUGUAGUUUAGUUUUUGGUUUGCACACUUAUACAUGAAAUUUAAAUUCCAAAUCAUAUGUGCCAUUCAAGGAAACAUCAGAAUUGAGAAUCCCUUAUGCCAGAGAAAUGUGGUAGAGUCGGUAAAGCGUUCGCGUUAUCGACGCUUGUGGGUUAACUCUCUGUUUACAUGCAGACCUACUGGAUUUUAUCACCUUUUUGCACAAACAUGGAAGUACUAUGCACCUAGUGUUGAAAAACGUUUGAAUCGUAAAUCUGAAUGUAUCUGAUGACUGAAUGUGCCUGUCCAAUGUUGUUGCAAUUCCAUGAAUUGCCAGGUGAUGGAGACAUAGUAUAACGUAAGAGCAGGACGAGGUGGGCGUGGCUUCAAUGCCAGAGAUUAAACUAUUAAUCCGCAUUCACAUGUAAUGUCCCUUGCAAGCCUCAAACAGUAUGAGUAGUUCGGGUGUUUUUUAUGUUAGUGCUUUAAAAAUGUAAAUGAUUUAUACGUUCUUAAAUACCGCAUCUCCACAUUUGGUUAUGCUGUAAUUUAUUAUAGUUAAUCUUAGCCAGUGAGGCUCUCAAAGCUUCUUUAGUUAAACAGAAUAUCCAGUAGUAAAAUUAAUUUAGAUUAAAAAUAUCCUACAUAAAAAUAAAAGGAUGAUGCUCAUGA